Molecule: unclassified non-coding RNA, 299 nt
Filed under: Phaeosphaeria podocarpi
Lineage: Eukaryota; Fungi; Ascomycota; Dothideomycetes; Pleosporales; Phaeosphaeriaceae
Description: partial internal transcribed spacer region
Rfam family: Eukaryotic small subunit ribosomal RNA (bases 1-46)
Source: RNAcentral
AAGUCGUAACAAGGUUUCCGUAGGUGAACCUGCGGAAGGAUCAUUAAAUUGAAACAAACAAAAAAACACCACGUGGGCUUGCCCAUGUGCUGCAAGUUGUAAGUCUGCAUAGUUUUGAAAAAAAACUGAUGAGCAGCGGCUUGCGUGUUUUGUUUUAACCCUUGUUUUUUGCGUACCUAUCGUUUCCUCGGCGAGUUUGCUCGCCGGCUGGACAAAACUUAUAACCUUUUUUAAUCUUCAAUCAGCGUCUGAAUUAUACAUAAUAAUUACAACUUUCAACAACGGAUCUCUUGGUUCUG